UACGUGAUCCCCGAGCGUUAUCCGGAUUUAUUGGGCGUAAAGAGUCUGUAGGCGGUUUGGAAAGUCUCAAGUUAAAUACCUAGGGCUUAACCUUAGGGGUGCUUGAGAUACUACCUAACUAGAGGGCGUUAGAGGCUGGUGGAACGGUCGGUGUAGGGGUGAAAUCCGUUGAUAUCGACCAGAACCCUAAAAGCGAAGGCAUCCAGCUGGGGCGACCCUGACGCUGAGAGACGAAAGCGUAGGUAGCGACAAGGAUUAGAUACCCCCGUA
RNAcentral lists this ribosomal RNA (270 nucleotides) under uncultured prokaryote. RNAcentral's name for it is "partial 16S ribosomal RNA". It matches the Rfam family "Bacterial small subunit ribosomal RNA", at positions 524 to 792 of the family's 1533-position model. The record is from RNAcentral.